Molecule: ribosomal RNA, 652 nt
Filed under: Sphingobacterium multivorum
Lineage: Bacteria; Pseudomonadati; Bacteroidota; Sphingobacteriia; Sphingobacteriales; Sphingobacteriaceae
Description: bacterial SSU rRNA
Rfam family: Bacterial small subunit ribosomal RNA
Source: RNAcentral
GAGAGUGGCGCACGGGUGCGUAACGCGUGAGCAACCUACCUCUAUCAGGGGGAUAGCCUCUCGAAAGAGAGAUUAACACCGCAUAACAUCAACAGUUCGCAUGUUCGGUUGAUUAAAUAUUUAUAGGAUAGAGAUGGGCUCGCGUGACAUUAGCUAGUUGGUAGGGUAACGGCUUACCAAGGCGACGAUGUCUAGGGGCUCUGAGAGGAGAAUCCCCCACACUGGUACUGAGACACGGACCAGACUCCUACGGGAGGCAGCAGUAAGGAAUAUUGGUCAAUGGGCGGAAGCCUGAACCAGCCAUGCCGCGUGCAGGACGACUGCCCUAUGGGUUGUAAACUGCUUUUGUCCAGGAAUAAACCCAGAUACGUGUAUCUGGCUGAAUGUACUGGAAGAAUAAGGAUCGGCUAACUCCGUGCCAGCAGCCGCGGUAAUACGGAGGAUCCGAGCGUUAUCCGGAUUUAUUGGGUUUAAAGGGUGCGUAGGCGGCCAAUUAAGUCAGGGGUGAAAUACGGUGGCUCAACCAUCGCAGUGCCUUUGAUACUGAUUGGCUUGAAUCCAUUUGAAGUGGGCGGAAUAAGACAAGUAGCGGUUGAAAUGCCUACAUCUGUCCUUACAACUCCUAUUGCGAAGGCAGCUCACUAAGCUGGUA